UGCUCUUCCUAUCUGGAAGCCCUGGGAAGCCUGGGGCAAGCCUUGUCAGGGGAGUUUAUCCCCAUGUCCAAACAAGACAGUGGGGCCAGAAGAGCUGGGGCCGGAGGAGGCUUUUCAGGCAGCCUGUCCCCUUUUGACUGCUGGACCCACAGGCAUGAGGGCUGAGCUCUUUGUCCCAGACGAACCUCUCCAGCCAAGGGAGAGGUGAGAAAAGAGAGCCAGUCCUCGGCCUCCGUCAAAGGGAC
Vicugna pacos (alpaca) is the source of this 245-nucleotide non-coding RNA. NCBI's taxonomy places the organism in Eukaryota, Metazoa, Chordata, Mammalia, Artiodactyla, Camelidae. The record is from RefSeq and is a predicted model, not a curated record.